This 1395-nucleotide ribosomal RNA is filed under the name Campylobacter jejuni. RNAcentral's name for it is "partial 23S ribosomal RNA". It matches the Rfam family "Bacterial large subunit ribosomal RNA", at positions 1540 to 2925 of the family's 2925-position model. The record is from RNAcentral. Lineage: Bacteria; Pseudomonadati; Campylobacterota; Epsilonproteobacteria; Campylobacterales; Campylobacteraceae.
AUACUCCGAGAACUGAAAGGCUUUUUGAAGUCUUCGGAUGGAUAGAAGAACCCCUGAUGCCGUCGAGCCAAGAAAAGUUUCUAAGUUUAGCUAAUGUUGCCCGUACCGUAAACCGACACAGGUGGGUGGGAUGAGUAUUCUAAGGCGCGUGGAAGAACUCUCUUUAAGGAACUCUGCAAAAUAGCACCGUAUCUUCGGUAUAAGGUGUGGUUAGCUUCGUACUAGGAUUUACUCCGAAAGCGAAGAAACUUACAACAAAGAGUCCCUCCCGACUGUUUACCAAAAACACAGCACUCUGCUAACUCGUAAGAGGAUGUAUAGGGUGUGACGCCUGCCCGGUGCUCGAAGGUUAAUUGAUGGGGUUAGCAUUAGCGAAGCUCUUGAUCGAAGCCCGAGUAAACGGCGGCCGUAACUAUAACGGUCCUAAGGUAGCGAAAUUCCUUGUCGGUUAAAUACCGACCUGCAUGAAUGGCGUAACGAGAUGGGAGCUGUCUCAAAGAGGGAUCCAGUGAAAUUGUAGUGGAGGUGAAAAUUCCUCCUACCCGCGGCAAGACGGAAAGACCCCGUGGACCUUUACUACAGCUUGACACUGCUACUUGGAUAAGAAUGUGCAGGAUAGGUGGGAGGCUUUGAGUAUAUGACGCCAGUUGUAUAUGAGCCAUUGUUGAGAUACCACUCUUUCUUAUUUGGGUAGCUAACCAGCUUGAGUUAUCCUCAAGUGGGACAAUGUCUGGUGGGUAGUUUGACUGGGGCGGUCGCCUCCCAAAUAAUAACGGAGGCUUACAAAGGUUGGCUCAGAACGGUUGGAAAUCGUUCGUAGAGUAUAAAGGUAUAAGCCAGCUUAACUGCAAGACAUACAAGUCAAGCAGAGACGAAAGUCGGUCUUAGUGAUCCGGUGGUUCUGUGUGGAAGGGCCAUCGCUCAAAGGAUAAAAGGUACCCCGGGGAUAACAGGCUGAUCUCCCCCAAGAGCUCACAUCGACGGGGAGGUUUGGCACCUCGAUGUCGGCUCAUCGCAUCCUGGGGCUGGAGCAGGUCCCAAGGGUAUGGCUGUUCGCCAUUUAAAGCGGUACGCGAGCUGGGUUCAGAACGUCGUGAGACAGUUCGGUCCCUAUCUGCCGUGGGCGUAAGAAGAUUGAAGAGAUUUGACCCUAGUACGAGAGGACCGGGUUGAACAAACCACUGGUGUAGCUGUUGUUCUGCCAAGAGCAUCGCAGCGUAGCUAAGUUUGGAAAGGAUAAACGCUGAAAGCAUCUAAGCGUGAAGCCAACUCUAAGAUGAAUCUUCUCUAAGCUCUCUAGAAGACUACUAGUUUGAUAGGCUGGGUGUGUAAUGGAUGAAAGUCCUUUAGCUGACCAGUACUAAUAGAGCGUUUGGCUUAUCUUUAAUAAAGCAU